This 3207-nucleotide long non-coding RNA is filed under the name Schizosaccharomyces pombe (fission yeast). Lineage: Eukaryota; Fungi; Ascomycota; Schizosaccharomycetes; Schizosaccharomycetales; Schizosaccharomycetaceae. The record is from RNAcentral.
GGCUGAAUGAGCUAAUCUACACUAAAUGAUCAUUCAUUGAUUAAGUGGCAUUUCUCAUGAAUGAUGAAAAAGUAAAGUGGAUAAGGUCGGUUUUAUGCCAAAUGUCAUUUGUUUACUAUUUACAAACAACUUGCUGCCUUUGCUAUUGUGAGUGGAAUCCUUGACGAAGACUUUGCAUACUCGCUUGAUUAACAUGCUUUCUACCGACUCACUUGUUAACCCUACUUUCUUGCCAAUAACCUAUUCUUUCUAACCUUAUCGGGCAUUUUAUCGCUGCGUCCAAAACUAAUAAAAAAAAAAUAAAAUAAUAAAAUAAUUAUUAUGAGCAAGGCCGAUUUUUAACAUGACGACAAGUUCCUUCCUAUUGUUAGUCUAGGCAACCUAUUUUUGGUGGCUGUAAAAAGUGUUGAAUGUCCGACUCAACAGUCCCUUCCCAAAGUGUACAGAUAGAAAGAAGAGCAGCAAGGGUAAUAAUGGGAGAUGGGGUUUCUGCACAAAUAGUUGAAUUUCCAUUUACCUAACUUGGAGAUCAGAAUAAGGACUAGAGAAUGAAGUUGCUUCAAGGAGUCGGUUUAUCUUGCUAAUAGAAAAAGUACUUAGUUGCGAAAAGAUUGCAUCAUGGCGAUAACAUCUCAAAAAUCCGACAUUUUCAUUCUAAUCGUGAUACAGGUAGUAGUGAUUUGAGGCAACUUUUAGUUGUGAAUUGCUCAUCCGUCUGAAGUGAAAUUAGGAAGUCUUCUUGGCUUACGAUUGUCAUGUUAGCCUUAGUAUUCGCAAAAUUACUGUUACAUGUGGAAAUGACUAAAUUUCUCAUAGAAUUACAUAUGCGUUCGCACUUUUAGCUAAGCGAGUGGCAGUCAAUGAAUGAUAUACAUUUGGCAUGUUAGCGGAUGUGUCGCCUUCAUGUUUGCAUACUCAAAUGUACAAUAACGUAUGUGCAUACGGGAACAAUAAUUUGGUUAUACGUGCAUGAUUGUUCUUAUAGUUAGUUAGUUAGUUGAAGGAGAAACGUUUGGCGAUGGACUUGGCUACAAAAAGUUAUUGUACCGACCUGUCCAGCAUUCAUCAUCAGUCCUUUGAGUGUACGAUAUUUGCGCAUGGGCUUACUGAUAGAGAAUACUACCUACAAGUAGGUAUUAUAUCUUUCAUUAAAGACAUAGUAAAUAUCUGUCAUUUAAAACAGAUAUUUUGUAUAUCCUCUAGUACGUAUUGUUACUUUACUGUAAUUUGCAGUCGAAAAAAUUAAGGAAAUUGAACAACACAGUUCUAAUGUAUAAAAGUAAAUAUGGUGGAAAGUUUAAAGAAUAUUAAGGUUCGCUUAGUUUUCUGCUCAGCAGGCAACCGCAAAGCGAAAAUAGGCAUUGUUUUUAUUCUUAUACUUACAAAAGGAACGGAAACUGUAAAGAAUACCGAGUAAGGUCAAGAAUUUUUUGGUUUCUGUUUUUGUUUUCUUCGCUUUUACGUGAUUUUAAUUUAAACUUUUGUAUAUCAUUUAUAAUUCAGUCAUGUCAUUCCCCAACCAAAUACAUAAGGUCAGGAUGUGAGUGUAGUUCGGUAAUAAUGUGGGUAAAAAAUCGUUUCGUUCCCGUUGUCACAAAACGAUAAUUCGGUCCACCGAUUCACCAUAGCUGGUCAACAUAAAUCAUCUGCUUCGUUAGAUUUUUUAGUAAAAGCAAACUCAAUUCCUUUCGCAUAUAACUUUAGGCUCACCCAUCAAGCUUGAUGUUGGGUUCUUUUUUGUGAAAGAUGUUUUCGGAUUGGCGAAUUCAGCCAACUCGAGAUUUUCUUCGGAAUUCUAUCAAUCCUCAUCUCAUUCAGCAGGUAUAAUCAGUUGAAUCGCUAUAUCUUCUCCAUUUUCAUCUGAAGGUGUAUCCAGACAAUUCAAUGUUAGUCUAUUGGUUAAGCAGUUAUCUUUUGACGAGCAAAAAUUGCUUGAUUUUGCUGAACCUGCUUCAGAAAAAUUUGGUAAAUUUGGCAAUGAAUGAAGACCCGUUGGAUUAUUGAACAAUUUUUUCAUGUUACACUCCAUCUCGGCGUUGAAUUGGCGACAUUUGCAGAGAUCUAGCAACAAUUGGUUAUAAAAGUCACAUUCCUUUUUGGAUGAAGGCGGAUUCUUAAAGAUUGCACCAUCACUAUUGUACAAAAGCAACGUCGACUCUGGUAGUUUACCGAGAAAUAUAUUUUUUUUCAUAUUCAAAUAGAGAUGGAUUGGGAAGGCAUAACCGUUUGAGCCAAUACAGUGAAUCAUUGCAAUCCAACCGAUGUCUGCUUCAGAAUUAGCACACUGAAGAAUUUUGUCAAAUCCAUCAAUUUCAUAAGGUAGAUUAUUUUCCAAUAGCGGCUUACGAAGCUGUACGUAUGACUGAAAAUUCGACGAACUUACUACAAUGCAGUUACAUGUCGAGCCAAGAGCAAAGAUAUCCCUCGGAUUUACCAAAUACAUGCGAAUAUUUCCAAUUUUCUUCUGUACAGCUAACUUUUGGACAGUACUGUAUGCUUCUCCUGAAUUGUUUACAUAAUGCUCAACUGCUGCCCACAAGGCUUCCUGAAGACUUUUCGGGUAAUAUUGAUAGAGCAUGACAUGAUGAAUCAAAACAGUUAAUGGAAAUUCGCCCGAACGUAGAUAGUCGCACAAAUAUUUAAAUAGAGCUUGAUGAUUUCGAAGUAGAUGCGAAACUGCUGUCUGUAUACAAGAAUGAUUAUCGAUCAAGUGAUAAACCUGAUCAGGAAGGCAAAACCCGCUCUCAUCCAUUUCAUAACCAAUUUUCAAAUAGACACCACUAAACGUAUGGAAAACAUAAGAUAACCAACCAUCAUAAAACAAAUUUGGAAUGUCAAAGCGAUCUGGCAGCUCGAAUUCUUUUAACUUGAGAAUUUUACAUGUACACGGUAUCCACGAAAUUGAGUCUAAAAGUAGAAAAUGCGUAUUGUGAGGAUAUUCAAUAUCUGCAUAUGUAAUCGCAGCCAUUGGAUUUUCACAUUGGCAUUUCAUACAAGCCAAUUGGCGCUUAUUUCGACGCAUGCAUAAAAUUAGAAAUUUCGAUAUUUUCAGAGCGAAUUUGUGAAGUAUUGUUGAAUGAAACUUGACAACAUUUGCAUUAUAGUUCAUGGAAAAUAAUAACUAUGUUUGCAUAACACUAACAAGUAUCAGAAAUUAUAGUUAUAGGGAAACCUCAACAGAAAUUAAGCACUUUACAAUAUGCCAAA